GCAGUGGUUACUUCAGACACACAAAGAAGGAGUGCUCGCUCCUCAGGAAACCCUGCAAGUUCGGAUCGCUACCACAAGAACGUUUGUCUCAGUGGAUUAUCCUCACUGUCAGGACCCCAGCCAGAAUGAAACUAAUGCACGUAGCCCUGCUCUAUCUCGGCUCUGUGACCUUCCUCGGGGUGGAUGCUGCAAGCGUGAACGUAGCGACAGAGUUCAAAAGAAAAUGGACGAAAUGGGCACUUAGCCGAGCCAAGCGGGACGUGAAGCCUGCGGGCGCGCUCCGAGGGCUGGGGGCAGCCGCCGACGUGCAGCCGCUCAUACGGACCCAGGACGUGAAGGAGGAUCCUCGAAUCUCGCAUCCCAGCACUCGGGAGGAUGCUCACAUCCGCGUCAAGCGCUACCGCCAGAGCAUUAACAGCUUCCCCCACUUCCAAGCCAUCCGCACGGGGUGCCGGUUCGGGACGUGCACAGUGCAGAAGCUGGCCCACCAGAUCUACCAGCUGACCGAUAAGGACAAGGACGACACCGCCCCCGCCAGCAAGAUCAGUCCCCAGGGCUACGGCCGCAGGAGGCGCUCCCUGCCCGAACGCCGCGGCCCGGCGCGUUCUCCCCGGACCGGGCGGCGCCCCUGGACGCCGCGGGCGCAGCCUCUCGCCGCCGUCCUCGGGGUUUGAGCUCCGCACUACCGGCCGAGGCCGUCUCGGAUGGGUGGACUGAAGCGUGGACGCUCCGGAGGUCCGCUGCUGCUCGGCAGCCGCCGCCAGGAUUCGCGGAGAGCGACUGUCCGGGCGGGACCCCGACGCGCCCUCCCAGGGCCGGGGGCAGCGGAGCGGCGGGCCGCGCUGCCAGGGCCCGGCAGGGCGAGGAGCGGCCGUCUCCGCGGCCCGCAGGGUCGGAGCGGGGAAACUGUGAAGGCCGCGUCCCCCGGGGGACGCGCAGGGGCUGCUCCCCCCGUCCGCCGCUGCGGCGGGGCGGUCACUGACUUUUUACCCUCCGGGCGACGCACCGCCGGCUCCCGCGCCCGCCGCCGCCUGGGACUGGAAGGCGCCAGAGGCGCCUCUACCCCGCCGGCCGCCAUGGCGCCCCCUGCCCCGCCGCUGCACUCGGGAGGGGGGGGCCGGGCCUUCCUUGCCGGCGGGCCGCGCUCAGAGCUGCCCCGGCCCCGUCUGCCCCGAAGAGGGGUUGCUCAGGGGAGACCCGCGGCCGGGGGAACUCGCCGGCAGGCGCCGGCCGCUACGCCACACCCCCGGACCCGGGGACCGCGGCCCCGGCCUCACCCCCUGCCCCUGGGUGUUUGGGGGUUCGUGUUCGGCCUUCGACAAGGACAGGUCGCCCACAUCUGCUCUACCCUCUGCGCUAUCUGCACCCGGCAGGGAAUCGGACACUCACUAGUCCCUGCGGGGACUGAAAUAUACUUGAACCUCACAGAGAGGAAAAGUGCAAUUGUACGUGGUUUUUGUUAAUUUUAAGUGCGGUGUGUGUGGAUCAUGAGAUCUGUAUCGAUAUUUAAGAUUGUCCUCUGUCAUGUCCUGUUUGUAUCUUUUUUUUUGAAAAUAUAUUUUAUUUUUAUACGUUUUAUAUAUAUAUUGCAUAAGGGCAUUUUAAAACAUUGUAUCCCCUCUAUUUUUCAUAUAAUGAAUGUCAAAUGUUACUUUUUUUUUUUUCCAUACCUUUUUUUAUCUUGCAUUCCAGACUGGUGAAAGAUGUAGAGAAUGUAUCAGCUGUUCUCCAUGGGUAAUAUGUGAAAUAAAUACUAUUACAUAAACCA
This 1768-nucleotide long non-coding RNA is filed under the name Strigops habroptila (Kakapo). Its description in RNAcentral is "lncRNA (ENSSHBG00005016626.1)". The record is from RNAcentral. Lineage: Eukaryota; Metazoa; Chordata; Aves; Psittaciformes; Psittacidae.